This 298-nucleotide ribosomal RNA is filed under the name Anaplasma platys. RNAcentral describes it as "partial 16S ribosomal RNA". It matches the Rfam family "Bacterial small subunit ribosomal RNA", at positions 94 to 409 of the family's 1533-position model. The record is from RNAcentral. Lineage: Bacteria; Pseudomonadati; Pseudomonadota; Alphaproteobacteria; Rickettsiales; Anaplasmataceae.
AGUGGCAGACGGGUGAGUAAUGCAUAGGAAUCUACCUAGUAGUAUGGGAUAGCCACUAGAAAUGGUGGGUAAUACUGUAUAAUCCCUGCGGGGGAAAGAUUUAUCGCUAUUAGAUGAGCCUAUGUUAGAUUAGCUAGUUGGUAGGGUAAAGGCCUACCAAGGCAGUGAUCUAUAGCUGGUCUGAGAGGAUGAUCAGCCACACUGGAACUGAGAUACGGUCCAGACUCCUACGGGAGGCAGCAGUGGGGAAUAUUGUACAAUGUGCGCAAGCCUGAUCCAUCUAUGCUGUGAGUGAGUA